UCCACUGUUCUAUGCAUUACCUCGCAUUUUUAUGUUGCUCUAAGUGGUGUUCCAGUCUUCUAUGCAUUCAAUUCAGGCACUUAACACUAGACAAGUGAGAGAUGACUCUUAUUGCUCAAUUUAUAAAUCAGCGGGAAAUGAAUAUGCUGCUCUUCGGGAAUUAAAGUAGCUGUGGACAGUGCAACAGCACCCUCUUCUGGAGACUGUUAAAUCCUACAAAAUUCUAGGAGUAGUUGUUCACGUCUCAGAUUUUCUGAGGUUUGACAAGUGCCAUGUUGGCAGCAGACAGAAGGCUUUAGAAUCAGGUGUUCUCAUCAGUCAGUUCCACUUUCAGGUGUUUCCAUUCUCAAAAAAAAACAAACAAACAGAAAAAAGGAACAAACGACACAUUAAAAGUCACUCAACAAGCCAUUUCUGCUGCAUCUGCCAUUGCCAUUUGGAUUAUUUUGUAUCUGUGGUAUAAAUGCACAUACCAGCUACUGUCUGGAGAGUAAAAGGCAGGCAUGAAGAAUAAUGAUUUCCUGCUCACCAGAGGACAGCUUAUAGCUUUUCCACAUUGAACCAAACAGAAAGGAAACAUUCAUCAAACAGUAUGGCUGAUGUCUGUCCAUUUUGUCCAAGCAGCCCACUGAAUCUUCAGCUGUUGUCAAACUGGCUUAAAGAUGUCAUGCAUUCUGAAAGAAAAUAAAAUGACUAA
This is a long non-coding RNA of Anguilla anguilla (European eel), 697 nucleotides long. RefSeq lists it as uncharacterized. Lineage: Eukaryota; Metazoa; Chordata; Actinopteri; Anguilliformes; Anguillidae. The transcript has 3 exons. The record is from RefSeq and is a predicted model, not a curated record.